UACGAAGGGCCCGAGCGUUGAUCGGAUUCACUGGGCUUAAAGGGUGCGUAGGCGGAACGGUAAGUAUCUCGUGAAAUCCCAUGGCUCAACCAUGGAACCGCGGGGUAUACUGUCGUUCUUGAGGUCGGUAGGGGCUGUCGGAACUGUAGGUGUAGCGGUGAAAUGCGUAGAUAUCUACAGGAACGCCAAUGGCGAAGGCAGACAGCUGGGCCGAUUCUGACGCUGAGGCACGAAAGCGUGGGGAGCAAAC
Molecule: ribosomal RNA, 250 nt
Filed under: uncultured bacterium
Lineage: Bacteria
Description: partial 16S ribosomal RNA
Rfam family: Bacterial small subunit ribosomal RNA
Source: RNAcentral